RNAcentral lists this ribosomal RNA (440 nucleotides) under uncultured bacterium. RNAcentral's name for it is "partial 16S ribosomal RNA". It matches the Rfam family "Bacterial small subunit ribosomal RNA", at positions 338 to 795 of the family's 1533-position model. The record is from RNAcentral.
CCUACGGGGGGCUGCAGUGGGGAAUAUUGGACAAUGGGGGGAACCCUGAUCCAGCGACGCAGCGUGCGUGAAGAAGUAUUUCGGUAUGUAAAGCUCUAUCAGCAGGGAAGAAAAUGACGGUACCUGACUAAGAAGCCCCGGCUAACUACGUGCCCGCACCCGCGGUAAUACGUAGGGGGCAAGCGUUAUUCGGAUUUACUGGGUGUAAAGGGAGCGUAGACGGUGCAGCAAGUCUGAUGUGAAAGGUCGGGGCCCAACCCCGGGACUGCAUUGGAAACUGUUGAACUGGAGUACAGGAGAGGUAGGCGGAAUUCGUGGUGUAGCGGUGAAAUGCGUAGAUAUUAGGAGGAACACCGAUGGCGAAGGCGGCUUACUGGACUGUAACUGACGUUGAGGCUCGAAAGCGUGGGUAGCAAACAGGAUUAGAUACCCCUGUAGUC